GCUUGGUCAUUCUGCCACUGCAGGCUGAGCCACCAGGGGAGCAGCAGUCUGGCAGCACAGGAACAACACGGGCAUUCAAGGGGAUGGGAAAGUGGGUAAAAUUGUAACCAGAAAAAGGCAUUUUUUCCACACUAACACGGAACUGAAUUCAGGAGCUUGAGCUUUAUGGGCCCUGCCUCUUUUUCUAUAAAUUUGAAGCUGUCGGUCACCAGAUCCUUCUAGAAAAUUCCUCACCCGCUUUCCCCAAGAACUCCAGAAUAACCUGCAAUGCCCUGAAACAUCUCAGGAUUUCUUUUGGGACCAAGUCUCAACAAGAGGAUCUUUCAAAGCUUGGCCCUUUCUCCCAGUGCUGAAGGGCUGCCUCAGUGUCACCGAUGCAAGAGCUUCCUCACUCACAUCCAGCCCACCCAGUGACACCCACCCGGGCUGUUUGGAGCUGUGGCCCCCGUGUGAGCUGUGUUCACUCCCUGGCAGCCAGGACUCAGUGAGAUGGGACUCUACACUAUCUGUCAGGGGUUGCACUGGUGUGUGUUGUGCAUGCAAGACUUUGGAGCUCUUGCUCUGCUGGGGCCACCAGCCUGGAAUGUGCUUCCUCCUGAAACGUGUCCUAGUGACAGUCUAAAGGAACUUUGUUGUUUUGGCUCGACUCUGUGUUCCAGUUACCUGGGGGUUUGUGCUGGUGGCUGAGAAGUUCUGCCCAAGCCAGUGCCUUUCCCUGCACUGAGCAGAGGGUUCUGGUGGAGGGGCAGAGAUUCCUCCCAAGUGGGAGGAAUUAGAGUCAUGCAAAUGGCAGACAGAUGCUGAAUUCCUCCAUGCUGGGAUUCCUCAGGAGAAGAGAGUGCCGUGCUGUAGGCACAGGGACAAGGUGUGAGUAGGAAGCGUGUAGGGAACGGGGGAGCCUUUCCCACCAAGAAUAUGUGCUUUGUACCCUCCACUUCUCUGCUUUUCAGCCAGCCAGCAAAAUUAAAAACAUGUGAGGGGUGGAGCAGGAGGGCAGGGAUUUAUGGGUUGUUUUAUAGGAGAUGAUAUAAAACACUUUUAUGUCAA
Molecule: long non-coding RNA, 1047 nt
Organism: Chiroxiphia lanceolata (lance-tailed manakin)
Lineage: Eukaryota; Metazoa; Chordata; Aves; Passeriformes; Pipridae
Exons: 2
Source: RefSeq, a predicted model, not a curated record